This 507-nucleotide unclassified non-coding RNA is filed under the name Hevea brasiliensis (rubber tree). Lineage: Eukaryota; Viridiplantae; Streptophyta; Magnoliopsida; Malpighiales; Euphorbiaceae. The record is from RNAcentral.
CAGUGGUCGGCAUACAGUGUGCGAGGACCCUGAGAAGGGAUAUGUCUUUGUUGAUAGGGACGGAAAGCAUUUCAGGCAUAUUCUGAAUUGGUUGAGAGAUGGUGUGGUUCCCACACUUACUGAUGCUGAAUAUUCAGAGCUCAUGAGGGAGGCAGAAUACUAUCCGCUCCUUGGGCUCAUUGAGGGAAUUAAUUCAGUUUUGACUAAGAGGAAGGAAAGUGAUGAACUAGAUACUGAAUUGACACGGACAGAUAUCAUCAAGUGUAUACAAUCUGAAAGAGUCCGAUUUCGAGGGGUUAAUCUUUCUGGCCUUGAUCUUUCUAAACUGGACCUUUCAUUUGUUGACUUCAGCUUUGCAUGUCUUAAAAAUGUGUUCUUCUCACGGGCCAACCUUCAGUGUGCAAAAUUCCGGGAUGUGGAUGCUGAGGAUUCCAUAUUUCAUAAUGCAACAUUGCGAGAAUGUGAAUUUACUGGUGCAAAUCUUCGUGGAGCUUUAUUAGCUGGUGC